Molecule: ribosomal RNA, 301 nt
Filed under: uncultured bacterium
Lineage: Bacteria
Description: partial 16S ribosomal RNA
Rfam family: Bacterial small subunit ribosomal RNA
Source: RNAcentral
CAGUCGCCGCGGUAAUACGUAGGUGGCAAGCGUUGUCCGGAAUUAUUGGGCGUAAAGGGCUCGCAGGCGGUUUCUUAAGUCUGAUGUGAAAGCCCCCGGCUCAACCGGGGAGGGUCAUUGGAAACUGGGAAACCUGAGUGCAGAAGAGGAGAGUGGAAUUCCACGUGUAGCGGUGAAAUGCGUAGAGAUGUGGAGGAACACCAGUGGCGAAGGCGACUCUCUGGUCUGUAACUGACGCUGAGGAGCGAAAGCGUGGGGAGCGAACAGGAUUAGAUACCCCCGUAGUCCCUGUCUCUUAUAC